UACGUAGGGAGCAAGCGUUGUCCGGAAUCAUUGGGCGUAAAGAGCUCGUAGGCGGCCUGUUGCGUCCGCUGUGAAAGCCCGGGGCUUAACCCCGGGUCGGCAGUGGAUACGGGCAGGCUAGAGGUAGGUAGGGGAGAAUGGAAUUCCCGGUGUAGCGGUGAAAUGCGCAGAUAUCGGGAGGAACACCGGUGGCGAAGGCGGUUCUCUGGGCCUUACCUGACGCUGAGGAGCGAAAGCGUGGGGAGCGAACAGG
Molecule: ribosomal RNA, 253 nt
Filed under: uncultured bacterium
Lineage: Bacteria
Description: partial 16S ribosomal RNA
Rfam family: Bacterial small subunit ribosomal RNA
Source: RNAcentral